RNAcentral lists this unclassified non-coding RNA (386 nucleotides) under uncultured bacterium. Its description in RNAcentral is "contains 16S-23S intergenic spacer region". The record is from RNAcentral.
UCCCCGUUUAGACGAGGCAGUCUGUCCAGAGUGCUUCCCGCUCUCGCGGGAGUGGCAACAGGACACAAGGGUUGCGCUCGUUGCGGGACUUAACCCAACAUCUCACGACACGAGCUGACGACAGCCAUGCAGCACCUGUGCAAGCUCCCCUUGCGGGGUCGUCACCCUUUCAGGUUUCUACCACUUGCAUGUCAAGGCCAGGUAAGGUUCUUCGCGUUGCAUCGAAUUAAGCCACAUACUCCACCGCUUGUGCAGGCCCCCGUCAAUUCCUUUGAGUUUUACCGUUGCCGGCGUACUCCCCAGGCGGAGAACUUAACGCGUUAGCUGCGACACCGAGAGGCAAACCCUCCCAACAUCUAGUUCUCAUCGUUUACGGUGUGGACUAC